Molecule: ribosomal RNA, 253 nt
Filed under: uncultured prokaryote
Description: partial 16S ribosomal RNA
Rfam family: Bacterial small subunit ribosomal RNA
Source: RNAcentral
ACGAAGGGUCCAAGCGUUGUUCGGAAUCAUUGGGCGUAAAGCGCGCGCAGGCGGAUCAGCAAGUCAGAUGUGAAAUCUCGAAGCUCAACUUCGAAACUGCGUCUGAAACUGCUAGUCUAGAAUGUCGGAGGGGGCAGGGGAAUUUCACGUGUAGGGGUAAAAUCCGUAGAGAUGUGAAGGAACACCGGGGGCGAAGGCGCCUGCCCGGACGACUAUUGACGCUGAGGCGCGAAAGCCAGAGGAGCAAACGGGA